UUGUAAAAUUCAGUGUUGGGAACCUUAUAUAUGCUGUGUAGACAUUCGAAGGAAUUCAGGCUAUCAUUCUGAUAAAGUUGGGGGAUUUCUGUCAGGCCAUAUCUUCUCCAUGUUCCUACACCCAAAUCAGGGAUAAGAUGGUCAAGGACCGCUAAUGGGGUUGGAUUCACUAUGGAGAUGGGAUUC
Long non-coding RNA from Bufo bufo (common toad), 186 nucleotides. RefSeq lists it as uncharacterized. The record is from RefSeq and is a predicted model, not a curated record. The transcript is spliced from 3 exons. NCBI's taxonomy places the organism in Eukaryota, Metazoa, Chordata, Amphibia, Anura, Bufonidae.